This 357-nucleotide ribosomal RNA is filed under the name Triticum aestivum (bread wheat). RNAcentral describes it as "partial small subunit ribosomal RNA". Lineage: Eukaryota; Viridiplantae; Streptophyta; Magnoliopsida; Poales; Poaceae. The record is from RNAcentral.
AUGGCGGCCAGCUUGAGAUGCUGUGCGCCUGUCCACUUUAUGUCACUGCAAACAAAAAGUACGGCACAGAUGGCGCAUUACGCAUCACCCAACGAAGUCUGUAUGCUAUUGCUAUUUUGUUGUCACUUGCAUGCAAGGAAUUUUGGUGUGACCCACGGGCAACAGAUGAGGAUGAUUGAGAGCAGCAUGGAAGUAUACCAUACGGCUUUAUUUGGAACGCAUGAAUUUGCUGGGAAUUAUGCAGUAAUUUCACAUGAAGUGGAUGCAACAACUGCAUUCCCAUUAGAAUCGGGGGAAAUUUCCGUGCUCUGGAUGAGCGCUGCAUCUAGAGCAUUUAGGAAAUUCAGUCGCCCAUGA